Molecule: ribosomal RNA, 253 nt
Filed under: uncultured bacterium
Lineage: Bacteria
Description: partial 16S ribosomal RNA
Rfam family: Bacterial small subunit ribosomal RNA
Source: RNAcentral
UACGUAGGGUGCGAGCGUUAAUCGGAAUUACUGGGCGUAAAGUGUGCGCAGGCGGCCGCGCAAGUCGAGUGUGAAAUCCCCGAGCUUAACUUGGGAAUUGCGCUCGAAACUUCGAAGCUUGAGUUCUGGAGAGGAAGGCGGAAUUCUCGGUGUAGAGGUGAAAUUCGUAGAUAUCGAGAGGAACACCAGUGGCGAAGGCGGCUUACUGGUCCGGUUCUGACGCUGAGGCGCGAAAGCGUGGGGAGCAAACAGG